UCAGCGGGUGAUGAGAUGUCCUUGUUCGA
RNAcentral lists this non-coding RNA (29 nucleotides) under Rattus norvegicus (Norway rat). Lineage: Eukaryota; Metazoa; Chordata; Mammalia; Rodentia; Muridae. The record is from RNAcentral.